Molecule: ribosomal RNA, 245 nt
Filed under: uncultured Lachnospiraceae bacterium
Lineage: Bacteria; Bacillati; Bacillota; Clostridia; Lachnospirales; Lachnospiraceae
Description: partial 16S ribosomal RNA
Rfam family: Bacterial small subunit ribosomal RNA
Source: RNAcentral
UACGUAUGGUGCAAGCGUUAUCCGGAUUUACUGGGUGUAAAGGGUGCGUAGGUGGUACGGCAAGUCAGAUGUGAAAACUUUGGGCUCAACCCAAAGCCUGCAUUUGAAACUGUCGAACUAGAGUACAGGAGAGGAAAGCGGAAUUCCUGGUGUAGCGGUGAAAUGCGUAGAUAUCAGGAGGAACACCGGUGGCGAAGGCGGCUUUCUGGACUGAAACUGACACUGAGGCACGAAAGCGUGGGGAG